UUAGAGUUUGAUCCUGGCUCAGGAUGAACGCCCUCGGCAGGCUUAACACAUGCAAGUCGAGGGGCAGCGAGAUCAGUGCUUGCACUGAUUGUCGGCGACCGGCGCACGGGUGCGUAACGCGUAUGCAACCUACCCAUUACAGGGGGAUAACACUGAGAAAUCGGUACUAAUACCCCAUAACAUCCAGGGAGGCAUCUUCUUGGGUUGAAAACUCCGGUGGUAAUGGAUGGGCAUGCGUUGUAUUAGUUAGUUGGUGGGGUAACGGCUCACCAAGACAACGAUACAUAGGGGGACUGAGAGGUUAACCCCCCACAUUGGUACUGAGACACGGACCAAACUCCUACGGGAGGCAGCAGUGAGGAAUAUUGGUCAAUGGACGCAAGUCUGAACCAGCCAUGCCGCGUGCAGGAAGACGGCUCUAUGAGUUGUAAACUGCUUUUGUACGAGGGUAAACGCAGAUACGCGUAUCUGUCUGAAAGUAUCGUACGAAUAAGGAUCGGCUAACUCCGUGCCAGCAGCCGCGGUAAUACGGAGGAUUCAAGCGUUAUCCGGAUUUAUUGGGUUUAAAGGGUGCGUAGGCGGUCGGAUAAGUUAGAGGUGAAAUCCCGGGGCUCAACUUCGGAAUUGCCUCUGAUACUGUUCGGCUAGAGAGUAGUUGCGGUAGGCGGAAUGUAUGGUGUAGCGGUGAAAUGCUUAGAGAUCAUACAGAACACCGAUUGCGAGGGCAGCUUACCAAGCUACUUCUGACGUUGAGGCACGAAAGCGUGGGGAGCAAACAGGAUUAGAUACCCUGGUAGUCCACGCAGUAAACGAUGAUAACUCGUUGUCGGCGAUACAGUGUCGGUGACUAAGCGAAAGCGAUAAGUUAUCCACCUGGGGAGUACGUUCGCAAGAAUGAAACUCAAAGGAAUUGACGGGGGCCCGCACAAGCGGAGGAACAUGUGGUUUAAUUCGAUGAUACGCGAGGAACCUUACCCGGGCUUGAAAGUUAGUGACGGAUCUUGAAAGAGGUCUUCCCUUCGGGGCACGAAACUAGGUGCUGCAUGGUUGUCGUCAGCUCGUGCCGUGAGGUGUCGGGUUAAGUCCCAUAACGAGCGCAACCCCUACCGUUAGUUGCCAGCAGGUCAAGCUGGGCACUCUGACGGGACUGCCGGUGUAAGCCGAGAGGAAGGUGGGGAUGACGUCAAAUCAGCACGGCCCUUACGUCCGGGGCUACACACGUGUUACAAUGGCAGGUACAGAGGGCAGCUACCCAGCGAUGGGAUGCGAAUCUCGAAAGCCUGUCUCAGUUCGGAUUGGAGGCUGAAACCCGCCUCCAUGAAGUUGGAUUCGCUAGUAAUCGCGCAUCAGCCAUGGCGCGGUGAAUACGUUCCCGGGCCUUGCACUCACCGCCCGUCAAG
RNAcentral lists this ribosomal RNA (1400 nucleotides) under uncultured bacterium. RNAcentral describes it as "bacterial SSU rRNA". It matches the Rfam family "Bacterial small subunit ribosomal RNA". The record is from RNAcentral.